GAUGAACGCUGGCGGCGUGCCUAAUACAUGCAAGUCGAGCGAACGGACGAGAAGCUUGCUUCUCUGAUGUUAGCGGCGGACGGGUGAGUAACACGUGGAUAACCUGCCUAUAAGACUGGGAUAACUUCGGGAAACCGGAGCUAAUACCGGAUAAUAUUUUGAACCGCAUGGUUCAAAAGUGAAAGACGGUCUUGCUGUCACUUAUAGAUGGAUCCGCGCUGCAUUAGCUAGUUGGUAAGGUAACGGCUUACCAAGGCAACGAUGCAUAGCCGACCUGAGAGGGUGAUCGGCCACACUGGAACUGAGACACGGUCCAGACUCCUACGGGAGGCAGCAGUAGGGAAUCUCCCGCAAUGGGCGAAAGCCUGACGGAGCAACGCCGCGUGAGUGACGAAGGUCUUCGGAUCGUAAAACUCUGUUAUUAGGGAAGAACAUAUGUGUAAGUAACUGUGCACAUCUUGACGGUACCUAAUCAGAAAGCCACGGCUAACUACGUG
RNAcentral lists this ribosomal RNA (497 nucleotides) under uncultured bacterium. Its description in RNAcentral is "partial 16S ribosomal RNA". It matches the Rfam family "Bacterial small subunit ribosomal RNA", at positions 28 to 507 of the family's 1533-position model. The record is from RNAcentral.